AGCUCCAAUCGCGUAUAUUAAAGUUGUUGCGGUUAAAAAGCUCGUAGUUGGAUUUCUGCCUGUGAGCGACGGUCAGCCUACGGUUUGUACUCGUCACGCCACAGGCAUCUUCCUGGGGAAUGUGUCUGCACUUGACUGUGUGGCGCCCGAUCCAGGACUUUUACUUUGAGGAAAUUACAGUGUUUCAAGCAGGCUACCGCUCUCUGAAUACGUUAGCAUGGAAUAAUAGCAUCGGACCUCGUUCCAAAGCCGUUGGUUUCUUGGAUCGAGGUAAAGGUGGAUAGGGAUUGUUGGGGGCAUUCGUAUUUAACUGUCAGAGGUGAAAUUCUUGGAUUUGUUGAAGACGGACUACUGCGAAAGCAUCUGCCAAAGAUGUUC
RNAcentral lists this ribosomal RNA (378 nucleotides) under uncultured eukaryote. Its description in RNAcentral is "SSU rRNA". It matches the Rfam family "Eukaryotic small subunit ribosomal RNA", at positions 587 to 969 of the family's 1831-position model. The record is from RNAcentral.